RNAcentral lists this ribosomal RNA (492 nucleotides) under uncultured bacterium. RNAcentral describes it as "partial 16S ribosomal RNA". It matches the Rfam family "Bacterial small subunit ribosomal RNA", at positions 29 to 507 of the family's 1533-position model. The record is from RNAcentral.
AGUGAACGCUGGCGGUAGGCCUAACACAUGCAAGUCGAACGGCAGCACAGUAAGAGCUUGCUCUUACGGGUGGCGAGUGGCGGACGGGUGAGGAAUACAUCGGAAUCUACUUUUUCGUGGGGGAUAACGUAGGGAAACUUACGCUAAUACCGCAUACGACCUACGGGUGAAAGCAGGGGAUCUUCGGACCUUGCGCGAUUGAAUGAGCCGAUGUCGGAUUAGCUAGUUGGCGGGGUAAAGGCCCACCAAGGCGACGAUCCGUAGCUGGUCUGAGAGGAUGAUCAGCCACACGGGAACUGAGACACGGUACAGAAUCCUACGGGAGGCAGCAGUGGGGAAUAUUGGACAAUGGGCGCAAGCCUGAUCCAGCCAUACCGCGUGGGUGAAGAAGGCCUUCGGGUUGUAAAGCCCUUUUGUUGGGAAAGAAAGGCAGCAGGUUAAUACCCCGCUGUUCUGACGGUACCAAAAGAAUAAGCACCGGCUAACUUCGUG